Molecule: ribosomal RNA, 443 nt
Filed under: uncultured bacterium
Lineage: Bacteria
Description: bacterial SSU rRNA
Rfam family: Bacterial small subunit ribosomal RNA
Source: RNAcentral
CCUACGGGAGGCAGCAGUGGGGAAUAUUGGGCAAUGGGCGAAAGCCUGACCCAGCGACGCCGCGUGGGGGAAGAAGGCCUUCGGAUUGUAAAGUUCUGUUAAUGGGAAAGAAAGUGUAUAUUAGGAAAUGAGUAUGCAUUGACGGUACCUGUUGAGGAAGCCCCGGCUAACUACGUGCCAGCAGCCGCGGUAAUACGUAGGGGGCAAGCGUUAUCCGGAAUUAUUGGGCGUAAAGCGUGCGUAGGCGGAAUGUUAAGUCAUUUGUAAAAGAUCUCAGCCCAACUGAGUAAGGCGAAUGAAACUGGCAAUCUUGAAUACGGUAGAGGUAAGUGGAAUUCCAUGUGUAGCGGUGGAAUGCGUAGAUAUAUGGAGGAACACCGAUGGCGAAGGCAGCUUACUGGGCCGGAAUUGACGCUGAGGCACGAAAGCGUGGGGAGCGAACG